GAUGAACGCUAGCUACAGGCUUAACACAUGCGAGUCGCGGGGCAGCAUGGGGGUUGCUUGCAUUCCCCGAUGGCGACCGGCGCACGGGUGAGUAACGCGUAUCCAACCUGCCCUUCACCACGGGAUAACCCGGCGAAAGUCGGACUAAUACCGUAUGUUGUCCAUUGACGGCAUCCGAUUUGGACGAAAGGUCUGGCGGUGAAGGAUGGGGAUGCGUCCGAUUAGCUGGACGGCGGGGUGACGUCCCAGCGUGGCGACGAUCUGUAGGGGUUCUGAGAGGAAGGUCCCCCACACUGGAACUGAGACACGGUCCAGACUCCUACGGGAGGCAGCAGUGAGGAAUAUUGGUCGAUGGGCGGAAGCCUGAACCAGCCAAGUAGCGUGCAGGAUGACGGCCGUAUGGGUUGUAAACUGCUUUUAUGCGGGGAUAAAGUGGCCCACGUGUGGGUUUUUGCAGGUACCGCAUGAAUAAGGACCGGCUAAUUCCGUG
This 490-nucleotide ribosomal RNA is filed under the name uncultured bacterium. Its description in RNAcentral is "partial 16S ribosomal RNA". It matches the Rfam family "Bacterial small subunit ribosomal RNA", at positions 28 to 507 of the family's 1533-position model. The record is from RNAcentral.